UACGAAGGGGGCGAGCGUUGUUCGGAUUUACUGGGCGUAAAGGGCGCGUAGGCGGGUCUUUAAGUCAGGGGUGAAAUCCUGGAGCUCAACUCCAGAACUGCCUUUGAUACUGAAGAUCUUGAGUUCGGGAGAGGUGAGUGGAACUGCGAGUGUAGAGGUGAAAUUCGUAGAUAUUCGCAAGAACACCAGUGGCGAAGGCGGCUCACUGGCCCGAUACUGACGCUGAGGCACGAAAGCGUGGGGAGCAAACAGG
Molecule: ribosomal RNA, 253 nt
Filed under: uncultured bacterium
Lineage: Bacteria
Description: partial 16S ribosomal RNA
Rfam family: Bacterial small subunit ribosomal RNA
Source: RNAcentral